Molecule: ribosomal RNA, 715 nt
Filed under: uncultured bacterium
Lineage: Bacteria
Description: bacterial SSU rRNA
Rfam family: Bacterial small subunit ribosomal RNA
Source: RNAcentral
UCUGUCACUGACGCNGAGGCUCGAAAGCGUGGGUAGCGAACAGGAUUAGAUACCCUGGUAGUCCACGCCGUAAACGAUGAGUGCUAGGUGUUAGGCCCUUUCCGGGGCUUAGUGCCGGAGCUAACGCAAUAAGCACUCCGCCUGGGGAGUACGACCGCAAGGUUGAAACUCAAAGGAAUUGACGGGGGCCCGCACAAGCGGUGGAGCAUGUGGUUUAAUUCGAAGCAACGCGAAGAACCUUACCAGGUCUUGACAUCCCGAUGCUAUUCUUAGAGAUAGGAAGUUACUUCGGUACAUCGGAGACAGGUGGUGCAUGGUUGUCGUCAGCUCGUGUCGUGAGAUGUUGGGUUAAGUCCCGCAACGAGCGCAACCCUUAUUGUUAGUUGCCAUCAUUAAGUUGGGCACUCUAGCGAGACUGCCGGUAAUAAACCGGAGGAAGGUGGGGAUGACGUCAAAUCAUCAUGCCCCUUAUGACCUGGGCUACACACGUGCUACAAUGGUCGGUACAACGAGUUGCGAGCCGGUGACGGCAAGCUAAUCUCUGAAAGCCGAUCUCAGUUCGGAUUGGAGGCUGCAACUCGCCUCCAUGAAGUCGGAAUCGCUAGUAAUCGCGGAUCAGCACGCCGCGGUGAAUACGUUCCCGGGCCUUGUACACACCGCCCGUCACACCACGAGAGUUUGUAACACCCGAAGUCGGUGAGGUANCCUUUUAGGG